AAACCCAGUGUGAUUCGUCACACUAUCAUUACGUGAAUACAUAGCGUAAUGAAGCGAACCGGGGGAACUGAAACAUCUAAGUACCCCGAGGAAAAGAAAUCAACCGAGAUUCCCCCAGUAGCGGCGAGCGAACGGGGAGCAGCCCAGAGUCUGAAUCAGCUUGUGUGUUAGUGGAACGGUCUGGAAAGUCCGACGGUACAGGGUGAUAGUCCCGUACACCAAAAUGCACAGGUUGUGAACUCGAAGAGUAGGGCGGGACACGUGGUAUCCUGUCUGAAUAUGGGGGGACCAUCCUCCAAGGCUAAAUACUCCUGACUGACCGAUAGUGAACCAGUACCGUGAGGGAAAGGCGAAAAGAACCCCGGCGAGGGGAGUGAAAAAGAACCUGAAACCGUGUACGUACAAGCAGUGGGAGCCUCUUUAUGGGGUGACUGCGUACCUUUUGUAUAAUGGGUCAGCGACUUAU
This 466-nucleotide ribosomal RNA is filed under the name Kluyvera ascorbata. Its description in RNAcentral is "partial 23S ribosomal RNA". It matches the Rfam family "Bacterial large subunit ribosomal RNA", at positions 124 to 631 of the family's 2925-position model. The record is from RNAcentral. Lineage: Bacteria; Pseudomonadati; Pseudomonadota; Gammaproteobacteria; Enterobacterales; Enterobacteriaceae.